This 253-nucleotide ribosomal RNA is filed under the name uncultured bacterium. Its description in RNAcentral is "partial 16S ribosomal RNA". It matches the Rfam family "Bacterial small subunit ribosomal RNA", at positions 524 to 776 of the family's 1533-position model. The record is from RNAcentral.
UACGUAGGGUGCAAGCGUUGUCCGGAUUUAUUGGGCGUAAAGAGCUCGUAGGCGGUUUGUUGCGUCGGCUGUGAAAUCCCGAGGCUCAACCUCGGGUCUGCAGUCGAUACGAGCAAACUAGAGUGUUGCAGGGGAGACUGGAGUUCCUGGUGUAGCGGUGAAAUGCGCAGAUAUCAGGAGGAACACCGGUGGCGAAGGCGGGUCUCUGGGCAACAACUGACGCUGAGGAGCGAAAGCGUGGGGAGCGAACAGG